UACGUAGGGGGCUAGCGUUGUCCGGAAUCAUUGGGCGUAAAGAGCGUGUAGGCGGCCAAGCAGGUCCGUUGUGAAAACUCGAGGCUCAACCUCGAGACGUCGAUGGAAACCGUCGGGCUAGAGUCCGGAAGAGGUGAGUGGAAUUCCGAGUGUAGAGGUGAAAUUCGUAGAUAUUCGGAGGAACACCAGUGGCGAAGGCGGCUCACUGGUCCAUUACUGACGCUGAGGUGCGAAAGCGUGGGGAGCAAACAGG
This 253-nucleotide ribosomal RNA is filed under the name uncultured bacterium. RNAcentral's name for it is "partial 16S ribosomal RNA". It matches the Rfam family "Bacterial small subunit ribosomal RNA", at positions 524 to 776 of the family's 1533-position model. The record is from RNAcentral.